RNAcentral lists this ribosomal RNA (939 nucleotides) under Triticum aestivum (bread wheat). Its description in RNAcentral is "partial small subunit ribosomal RNA". The record is from RNAcentral. Lineage: Eukaryota; Viridiplantae; Streptophyta; Magnoliopsida; Poales; Poaceae.
AUGGUUUAUAAAGGCAUAUUAUCUGAUCAGUCUGUUGUUGCAAUAAAAAAGUCUAAGGUCAUCAAGCAGUGUGAGAUUAGUCAAUUCAUCAAUGAGGUUGCAGUCCUGUCUCAGAUAAAUCACAGAAAUAUUGUAAAGCUCUUCGGAUGUUGUCUUGAAACGGAGGUUCCACUCUUGGUGUAUGACUUUGUAUCCAGUGGCUCAUUAUCUCAAGUUCUUCAUGCUGAUUCAAGUGAUGGUUUUUCUUUGUCUUGGAGUGAUUACUUGAGGAUUGCCCUGGAAACAACAGGAGCUCUAUCAUAUCUCCACUCUUCAGCUUCAAUAUCAAUCUUCCAUCGUGAUGUGAAGUCCUCAAAUAUUCUCCUGGACGAGAACUACACAGCUAAAGUUUCAGAUUUUGGUGCUUCUAGACUGGUUCCAAUUGAUCAAACACACAUUGUUACCAAUGUGCAAGGUACAUUUGGGUACUUAGAUCCAGAGUAUUUCCAUACCAGACAGCUGAACAGGAAGAGCGACGUGUACAGUUUUGGUGUGGUACUUGUGGAGUUGCUUCUCAGAAUGAAACCUAUUUUCACGAGCACAUCAGGCACCAUACAGAACUUGUCAAGCUACUUCCUCCAGGAGUUUCGUGAGGGAAGGAUAAUAGGUAUUGUCAACUCUCAGAUCCUCGAGGAAGCAAGUGAGGAAGAGAUCAACAAUGUUGCCAGUAUUGCUGAGGCAUGCUUAAGACUGCGCGGUGCAGAAAGACCCACCAUGAAACAAGUUGAGGUGAAAUUGCAGAUUCUACGAACCAAAAGGACGAAGUUAUGCCAAGUGGAUCCAAUAAAUGAAGAACAAAUGCAGUCAAGAUUACAAACUCGAAGAGCUAGAGUUGCUCUCCAGUCGUCUACGAUGCAUUUGGGUGACAGAAUCAAGUUACGGUCAAGAGACAACCAAUGA